UGGGGAAUUUUUGGACAAUGGGCGAAAGCCUGAUCCAGCAAUGCCGCGUGUGUGAAGAAGGCCUUCGGGUUGUAAAGCACUUUUGUCCGGAAAGAAAUCCUUGGCUCUAAUACAGUCGGGGGAUGACGGUACCGGAAGAAUAAGCACCGGCUAACUACGUGCCAGCAGCCGCGGUAAUACGUAGGGUGCAAGCGUUAAUCGGAAUUACUGGGCGUAAAGCGUGCGCAGGCGGUUUGCUAAGACCGAUGUGAAAUCCCCGGGCUCAACCUGGGAACUGCAUUGGUGACUGGCAGGCUAGAGUAUGGCAGAGGGGGGUAGAAUUCCACGUGUAGCAGUGAAAUGCGUAGAGAUGUGGAGGAAUACCGAUGGCGAAGGCAGCCCCCUGGGCCAAAUACUGACGCUCAUGCACGAAAAGCGUGGGGAGCAAACAGGAUUAGAUACCCUGGUAGUCCACGCCCUAAACGAUGUCAACUAGUUGUUGGGGAUUCAUUUCCUUUAGUAACGUAGCUAAGCGCGUGAAGUUGACCGCCUGGGGAGUACGGUCGCAAGAUUAAAACUUAAAGGAAUUGACGGGGUCAU
RNAcentral lists this ribosomal RNA (579 nucleotides) under uncultured bacterium. RNAcentral describes it as "partial 16S ribosomal RNA". It matches the Rfam family "Bacterial small subunit ribosomal RNA", at positions 355 to 922 of the family's 1533-position model. The record is from RNAcentral.